Molecule: non-coding RNA, 81 nt
Filed under: unclassified sequences
Also listed under: 1 other name
Source: RNAcentral
GUACUGAAAUGCAUGGUGGGAAAUCAAUGUGUAAUUCAUUGGCUGUACCUGCAACCGUAAAGUCGGAGCGCCACCCAGUAU